RNAcentral lists this ribosomal RNA (400 nucleotides) under uncultured bacterium. RNAcentral describes it as "partial 16S ribosomal RNA". It matches the Rfam family "Bacterial small subunit ribosomal RNA", at positions 360 to 776 of the family's 1533-position model. The record is from RNAcentral.
AAUCUUGCGCAAUGGGCGAAAGCCUGACGCAGCAACGCCGCGUGGGGGAUGAAGGCCUUCGGGUUGUAAACCCCUUUCAGCAGGAACGAAUCUGACGGUACCUGCAGAAGAAGGUCCGGCCAACUACGUGCCAGCAGCCGCGGUAACACGUAGGGACCGAGCGUUGUCCGGAUUUAUUGGGCGUAAAGCGCUCGUAGGCGGCUUGGUAAGUCGGGUGUGAAACCUCCAGGCUCAGCCUGGUGACGCCACCCGAUACUGCCAUGGCUAGAGUUCGGUAGGGGAGCGGGGAAUUCCUGGUGUAGCGGUGAAAUGCGCAGAUAUCAGGAGGAACACCGGUGGCGAAGGCGCCGCUCUGGGCCGAAACUGACGCUGAGGAGCGAAAGCGUGGGGAGCGAACAGG